CAGUCGCCGCGGUAAUACGAAGGGGGCUAGCGUUGCUCGGAAUGACUGGGCGUAAAGCGUGCGUAGGCGGUUUGUUAAGUCUGCUGUGAAAUCCCCGGGCUCAACCUGGGAAUGGCAGUGGAUACUGGCAAGCUAGAGUGUGUCAGAGGAUGGUGGAAUUCCCGGUGUAGCGGUGAAAUGCGUAGAGAUCGGGAGGAACAUCAGUGGCGAAGGCGGCCAUCUGGGACAACACUGACGCUGAGGCACGAAAGCGUGGGGAGCAAACAGGAUUAGAUACCCGCGUAGUCCCUGUCUCUUAUAC
This 301-nucleotide ribosomal RNA is filed under the name uncultured bacterium. RNAcentral describes it as "partial 16S ribosomal RNA". It matches the Rfam family "Bacterial small subunit ribosomal RNA", at positions 509 to 807 of the family's 1533-position model. The record is from RNAcentral.